AGAGCGAACGCUGGCGGCAGGCUUAACACAUGCAAGUCGAGCGGGCGUAGCAAUACGUCAGCGGCAGACGGGUGAGUAACGCGUGGGAACGUACCUUUGGUUCGGAACAACCCAGGGAAACUUGGGCUAAUACCGGAUAAGCCCUUACGGGGAAAGAUUUAUCGCCGAAAGAUCGGCCCGCGUCUGAUUAGCUAGUUGGUGAGGUAAUGGCUCACCAAGGCGACGAUCAGUAGCUGGUCUGAGAGGAUGAUCAGCCACAUUGGGACUGAGACACGGCCCAAACUCCUACGGGAGGCAGCAGUGGGGAAUAUUGGACAAUGGGCGCAAGCCUGAUCCAGCCAUGCCGCGUGAGUGAUGAAGGCCCUAGGGUUGUAAAGCUCUUUGUGCGGGAAGAUAAUGACGGUACCGCAAGAAUAAGCCCGGCUAACUUCGUGCCAGCAGCCGAC
Molecule: ribosomal RNA, 446 nt
Filed under: uncultured bacterium
Lineage: Bacteria
Description: SSU rRNA
Rfam family: Bacterial small subunit ribosomal RNA
Source: RNAcentral